Haliotis rubra (blacklip abalone) is the source of this 188-nucleotide long non-coding RNA. RefSeq lists it as uncharacterized. The transcript has 3 exons. NCBI's taxonomy places the organism in Eukaryota, Metazoa, Mollusca, Gastropoda, Lepetellida, Haliotidae. The record is from RefSeq and is a predicted model, not a curated record.
CCGAUAAAAGGCAACUUUAAGCAAUACAAAAUUUACCGGCGGCAGCUACCGACGGCAGUUGAAAAUACCGGAUCUUCACAAUUUUUAUCGGUAAAAAUCCGGUAAUUACCGGAGAACGGGAACACUGAUGCAAUGUCAUUAUUUAGCGUUGACACAAUUUCUAACUACAUUCCAGAUUGCUUCUCUUU